GGAAAGGCGCGCGAUACAGGGUGACAGCCCCGUACACAAAAAUGCACAUGCUGUGAGCUCGAUGAGUAGGGCGGGACACGUGGUAUCCUGUCUGAAUAUGGGGGGACCAUCCUCCAAGGCUAAAUACUCCUGACUGACCGAUAGUGAACCAGUACCGUGAGGGAAAGGCGAAAAGAACCCCGGCGAGGGGAGUGAAAAAGAACCUGAAACCGUGUACGUACAAGCAGUGGGAGCACGCUUAGGCGUGUGACUGCGUACCUUUUGUAUAAUGGGUCAGCGACUUAUAUUCUGUAGCAAGGUUAACCGAAUAGGGGAGCCGAAGGGAAACCGAGUCUUAACUGGGCGUUAAGUUGCAGGGUAUAGACCCGAAACCCGGUGAUCUAGCCAUGGGCAGGUUGAAGGUUGGGUAACACUAACUGGAGGACCGAACCGACUAAUGUUGAAAAAUUAGCGGAUGACUUGUGGCUGGGGGUGAAAGGCCAAUCAAACCGGGAGAUAGCUGGUUCUCCCCGAAAGCUAUUUAGGUAGCGCCUCGUGAAUUCAUCUCCGGGGGUAGAGCACUGUUUCGGCAAGGGGGUCAUCCCGACUUACCAACCCGAUGCAAACUGCGAAUACCGGAGAAUGUUAUCACGGGAGACACACGGCGGGUGCUAACGUCCGUCGUGAAGAGGGAAACAACCCAGACCGCCAGCUAAGGUCCCAAAGUCAUGGUUAAGUGGGAAACGAUGUGGGAAGGCCCAGACAGCCAGGAUGUUGGCUUAGAAGCAGCCAUCAUUUAAAGAAAGCGUAAUAGCUCACUGGUCGAGUCGGCCUGCGCGGAAGAUGUAACGGGGCUAAACCAUGCACCGAAGCUGCGGCAGCGACGCUUAUGCGUUGUUGGGUAGGGGAGCGUUCUGUAAGCCUGUGAAGGUGUACUGUGAGG
RNAcentral lists this ribosomal RNA (922 nucleotides) under Escherichia coli. Its description in RNAcentral is "partial 23S ribosomal RNA". It matches the Rfam family "Bacterial large subunit ribosomal RNA", at positions 344 to 1268 of the family's 2925-position model. The record is from RNAcentral. Lineage: Bacteria; Pseudomonadati; Pseudomonadota; Gammaproteobacteria; Enterobacterales; Enterobacteriaceae.